RNAcentral lists this ribosomal RNA (489 nucleotides) under uncultured Sphingobacteriales bacterium. Its description in RNAcentral is "bacterial SSU rRNA". It matches the Rfam family "Bacterial small subunit ribosomal RNA", at positions 891 to 1382 of the family's 1533-position model. Lineage: Bacteria; Pseudomonadati; Bacteroidota; Sphingobacteriia; Sphingobacteriales. The record is from RNAcentral.
GCUCAGAAACUUAAAGGAAUUGACGGGGCCCGCACAAGCGGAGGAGCAUGUGGUUUAAUUCGAUGAUACGCGAGGAACCUUACCUGGGCUCGAACGUAAGAUGACUGUAGGUGAAAGCUUACAUCUCUUCGGAGCAUUUUACGAGGUGCUGCAUGGUUGUCGUCAGCUCGUGCCGUGAGGUGUCGGGUUAAGUCCCAUAACGAGCGCAACCCCUACCUUUAGUUGCCAUCAGGUUAAGCUGGGGACUCUAAAGGAACUGCCUACGCAAGUAGUGAGGAAGCGGGGAUGACGUCAAAUCAGCACGGCCCUUACGUCCAGGGCUACACACGUGCUACAAUGGCCGAUACAGAGGGCAGCUACCUGGUGACAGGAUGCAAAUCUCCAAAGUCGGUCUCAGUUCGGAUCGGAGUCUGCAACCCGACUCCGUGAAGUUGGAUUCGCUAGUAAUCGCGCAUCAGCCAUGGCGCGGUGAAUACGUUCCCGGGCCUU